AAUAAAAAUAAACCUAAAUCCCAUGUAUAUUUGAUAGGCAUCCUAAUACACUAAUGAAAUGAAUUGUGCAAAGAGGGUAUUACUAUGAUUUUUUAUAGAUUAAAAAAAAGCCCAAAAUUAUACUGUGUAUAGAUGAUCAGUAGACGUGGUAUUAAAAACUUUCUACACUUGACCUUUAAUUUACUUCUAAAUUCAUGAGUUUUAGGGAAACGGACAUGGAAUGCUUUAUUGAGUUAAUCUCUUAACUGUCAUGGUUCAAAUUUAAGAAAAAAAAAAUAUCAACCAUUCUCAUAUUGAUCAGAUUUUAAUCCAAUCCUUUAUAACAAUUAUUAUUUAAAGAUAAAUUAAACUUGAUCAGGACAUAGAAAGUAUAACCAGGUUAAACAACUCCAAUUUAUUUUGACUUUCCUCAUGGACAAAGAUAAUCACAAUUGCAAUCAAGCUGUGUUCUAAGGUGGUGGCCUGAAAAUAUAUUUAUUUUCCUGUAGAACUACCUUAAAAAGAUAAUGCUUAACCACUUAGAAGAGCCCACAAAAUCCAACUUAAUCAAUAAUGUGGUGAACUAAUACUAACAGAAGCUCUGACCUCCCAAGAGAAAGCAAAUGAUGGGCUCUGUGCCAAGGUGAGGAGGUGGAGAGGCUCCUGAAUAAGGCACUCUGGAAGUGUAAGUGGCCAUGGAAAUAUAGUCUCCCCUCAGUAUACAAGGAGGAUUGGUUCCAGGACCGUAACACCCACCCGUCACCUAAAUCCACGCAUAUUCAAGUCCCACGGUGGGCCCUGAGGAACCCGCGUACAGGAAAAGUUGGCUCUCUACAUAUGCAGGUUUUAUAUCCUGUGAAUAGGGUAUUUUUGAUCUGCCUUUGGUUGAAAAAUAUCUGUGUAUAAGUGGACCUAUGCAACUGUAAUCUCAAAUUUACAGAAAGUUACAAAAAUAAAAACAGUACAAGGAAUACUGUAUGUUCUCUAUCUGGAUUUACUGAUGUUACAUUUUAUCCUGUUUGCUUUAUCAUUUGUAUUCUCUCUCUCUCUCUCUCUCUCUCAGAUACAGGAACGUGCAUAAUUUGUUUUCUGAAUUAUACAUACAUUAUGGCCCUUUACCCCUAAAUAUUUCAAUGUGUGUAUUUCCUAAUAAGAAUAUUUUCUUACAAAACCACAGUUGUUAUCAACUUCACAGAUUUACAUCGAUGAAAUAUUUUUAUCUGGAAUCAGCCAUGUCUCCAAAGAGUUCUGGUUCCUUUUAGUGGAAAAUGGAAUUAGAGACAAAGAUCUGGGCACUAGGUUUGCUCAUUGCUGUUGACCCUGCAAUACUUCUUGAUUAAAUCAAUAUUCAAAUAGAUGAUCCUUCCAAUACAAUGGGCUCUCGAUUCCUUGUCCUCUUCUCCUUCAACAAUCUUACUGUUUACUCCAACUCAUUUAUCUUCUUCCAUGGUCACACUCUAUAAUCUUGCCAUUAUAAUGACUGAACUCUCUCUCAAAUCUGAGUUCAAGUAUGCUACUCUCAGGCUGCCAUUUCAAAUCUUUCCCUUUGAUUUUACUUAUUUUUAAUUUUAAUUUCUGUAAGUACACAGUAGGUAGAUAUAUUUAUGCUUCUCUUUGAUUUUUUUUUUUUUUUUAAAGAUAGGCUCUCUGUCACCCAAACUGGAGGACAGUGGCAUGUUCUUGGCUCACUGCAACCUUCACC
Molecule: long non-coding RNA, 1681 nt
Filed under: Homo sapiens (human)
Lineage: Eukaryota; Metazoa; Chordata; Mammalia; Primates; Hominidae
Description: HSALNT0342552
Source: RNAcentral